RNAcentral lists this ribosomal RNA (447 nucleotides) under uncultured bacterium. Its description in RNAcentral is "bacterial SSU rRNA". It matches the Rfam family "Bacterial small subunit ribosomal RNA", at positions 329 to 792 of the family's 1533-position model. The record is from RNAcentral.
UGCCAGACUCCUACGGGAGGCAGCAGUGGGGGAUAUUGCACAAUGGGGGAAACCCUGAUGCAGCAACGCCGCGUGAGGGAAGAAGGUCUUCGGAUUGUAAACCUUUGUUUUUGGUGACGAAUAAUGACGGUAGCCAAAGAGGAAGCUCCGGCUAACUACGUGCCAGCAGCCGCGGUAAUACGUAGGGAGCGAGCGUUGUCCGGAAUUACUGGGUGUAAAGGGUGCGCAGGCGGGAGUGCAAGUUGGAUGUGAAAUGCCGGGGCUCAACCCCGGAGCUGCAUCCAAAACUGUACUUCUUGAGUGAAGUAGAGGCAGGCGGAAUUCCGAGUGUAGCGGUGAAAUGCAUAGAUAUCACGCAGAACUCCGAUUGCGAAGGCAGCGCACCGGCGCCCUACUGACGCUCAGGCACGAAAGCGUGGGUAUCGAACAGGAUUAGAUACCUCGGUA